UUGAAUAAACUUGGUUGGGUUGUUGCUGGCUUUCAGGAGCAUGUGCACGCUCAUUCCAUCUUUUUUAACCACCUGUGCACCCACUGUAGGCUUGAAAUGAACCUUUCGAGGAAACUCGGUUUGAGAACUGUUAGAAGCUGUUCUUACAUUUCAGGUCUAUGUUUUUAAACAUAUACUCCAUAAACAAGUCAAGGAAUGUUAAUUAUUGGCCUCAUGUGCCUUUAAACCUAAUACAACUUUCAACAACGGAUCUCUUGGCUCUCGCAUCGAU
This 271-nucleotide unclassified non-coding RNA is filed under the name Entoloma speculum. Its description in RNAcentral is "sequence contains ITS1 and 5.8S rRNA gene". The record is from RNAcentral. Lineage: Eukaryota; Fungi; Basidiomycota; Agaricomycetes; Agaricales; Entolomataceae.